AUGGCUCAUUAAAUCAGUUAUCGUUUAUUUGAUAAUACCUUACUACUUGGAUAACCGUGGUAAUUCUAGAGCUAAUACAUGCUGAAAAUCCCGACUUCGGAAGGGAUGUGUUUAUUAGAUAAAAAACCAAUGCCCUUCGGGGCUUUUUGGUGAUUCAUGAUAACUUUACGGAUCGCAUAGCCUUGCGCUGGCGACGGUUCAUUCAAAUUUCUGCCCUAUCAACUUUCGAUGGUAAGGUAUUGGCUUACCAUGGUUUCAACGGGUAACGGGGAAUUAGGGUUCGAUUCCGGAGAGGGAGCCUGAGAAACGGCUACCACAUCCAAGGAAGGCAGCAGGCGCGCAAAUUACCCAAUCCCGACACGGGGAGGUAGUGACAAUAAAUACUGAUACAGGGCUCUUUUGGGUCUUGUAAUUGGAAUGAGUACAAUUUAAACCUCUUAACGAGGAACAAUUGGAGGGCAAGUCUGGUGCCAGCAGCCGCGGUAAUUCCAGCUCCAAUAGCGUAUAUUAAAGUUGUUGCAGUUAAAAAGCUCGUAGUUGAAACUUGGGCCUGGCUGGCGGGUCCGCCUCACCGCGUGCACUCGUCCGGCCGGGCCUUCCUUCUGAAGAACCUCAUGCCCUUCACUGGGCGUGCUGGGGAAUCAGGACUUUUACUUUGAAAAAAUUAGAGUGUUCAAAGCAGGCCUUUGCUCGAAUACGUUAGCAUGGAAUAAUAAAAUAGGGCGUGCGUUUCUAUUUUGUUGGUUUCUAGAGACGCCGCAAUGAUUAACAGGAACAGUCGGGGGCAUCAGUAUUCAGUUGUCAGAGGUGAAAUUCUUGGAUUUACUGAAGACUAACUACUGCGAAAGCAUUUGCCAAGGAUGUUUUCAUUAAUCAGUGAACGAAAGUUAGGGGAUCGAAGACGAUCAGAUACCGUCGUAGUCUUAACCGUAAACUAUGCCGACUAGGGAUCGGGCGAUGUUCUUUUUCUGACUCGCUCGGCACC
This 985-nucleotide ribosomal RNA is filed under the name Alternaria alternata. RNAcentral describes it as "SSU rRNA". It matches the Rfam family "Eukaryotic small subunit ribosomal RNA", at positions 93 to 1087 of the family's 1831-position model. The record is from RNAcentral. Lineage: Eukaryota; Fungi; Ascomycota; Dothideomycetes; Pleosporales; Pleosporaceae.